GACGAACGCUGGCGGCGUGCUUAACACAUGCAAGUCGAGCGAGAAACUUCGGUUUCUAGCGGCGGACGGGUGAGUAACACGUGGGCAACCUGCCUCACAAUGGGGGAUAGCCUUCCGAAAGGAAGAUUAAUACCGCAUAACACAAAGGAAACGCAUGUUUCUUUUGCCAAAGAAUUUCGUUGUGAGAUGGGCCCGCGGCGCAUUAGCUUGUUGGUGAGGUAACGGCUCACCAAGGCGACGAUGCGUAGCCGACCUGAGAGGGUGAUCGGCCACAUUGGAACUGAGACACGGUCCAGACUCCUACGGGAGGCAGCAGUGGGGAAUAUCGCACAAUGGAGGAAACUCUGAUGCAGCAACGCCGCGUGAGUUAUGAAGGUCUUCGGAUUGUAAAGCUCUGUCUUCUGGGACGAUAAUGACGGUACCAGAGGAGGAAGCCACGGCUACUACGUGCCAGCCGCCGCGGUAA
This 466-nucleotide ribosomal RNA is filed under the name uncultured bacterium. RNAcentral describes it as "partial 16S ribosomal RNA". It matches the Rfam family "Bacterial small subunit ribosomal RNA", at positions 28 to 523 of the family's 1533-position model. The record is from RNAcentral.